GUUUUCUAUUCGUCAACUGAGGACAAGAGUUUGGCUGCAGGCUUUGUUAAGCAAAAAUGGCAAAAGAGCCUUCUGCUGGAGCUGUGCUGCGUGGUAGAGACAGAACAAACAAUCCCUGUCCCUACAUUGCUUUCCGGCUAAUGGGAAGUCACGACUGGCCCAAAUCGGAGGAAAUGGGGAGCUGAAGUCACAAAGGAGACUAAGGAGAAAGAGUAACAGAUAAGCUUACAGAACCGGACUCAUCCGCUCCACUCAAUUCCACCCAAAGACAAGUCAGGAGAGAAGGCUGAUCCACUUUGGAAUGGUGGGUGCUAACAAGAAGCAAACAGUGCCAACUAUCUCCUGGCUGGGAGCUCAGGGCCCUUGGGUUCAGCUCCUUAAUUUUGCAGGUGAUUGUUGUUGCUAGGAUACCUUUGGGUGAGCUAUGGGAUUCUGGCAGGCACCGUCACCAUCCCCGGGGUGAGGGGGGGGAGUGGGGUGACCCCUGCCUUGCCCAGGCAGAGGGGGAAAUAGCCCCAGAUGUUUCUCAGUGGUUCCAUGCUGUGGCUGCUGGCCUAUGUAUCCGGUGCCAGCAUUUCCCAGGAAGCCGUGCCAAGCCAAGGGGAGCUGCCCUUUCACUGGAACAGCUGGCAGCCCUGGGUGUGCAUGUGCCAGCUGCACAAACAAGCCCGCAUCCGUCAUUUUGUCAUCACGGUCCAGAAUAUGUCCCUGAACCUGCAGGCCGAGGAGUUCCGGCAGGAGAAGCCGUGCUCCAGGCGGGACUGUGUCAUGUGCUCCCUGGAGGAGUGUCCCAGCAGCCUCUCCCGCUCAGCUGUUCUCCCUUCACUUGACCUCACCCUAACCCAAGCCCCCACCUCCUUCCUCCAGUCACAAGACAACGACGUCGCCUCAGACUCCUAUGACAAUCUGCCCGAGGUGGAUGAUCGGGGUGAGGACUGAGGUGGGGGUGGGGGGGAAGAGGAGAGCAGUGAGAGUCCAACUCGGGAUGAGGGGAGACCGGCUACAGAGUGACAGGGGAGAUGUCGGCCCAGUGGGUGUUGAGUGUGAGGGGAUGGGGGGGAAGGGAUUCAGCCGUGCUGAUUCGGCAGGGUUCAGUCAUCAGUGAAUAAAAAGAGGUGGAAAUCCCACUGGGUUUUUCCUUUCAGCACCUCGGAUGGCUCCCAACACUGAAAGCUCAUCUACCUUUCUGUCCCUUUCCUCGGGCUCCUGGAACCCGGAAUCCUUUCUGACUAUAGACACGAUCCAGCCCUAUCAUUCAUUCAAUCGUAUUUAUUGAGCGCUUACUGCACGCAGAGCACUGUACUAAGCUCCCGGGAAAGAACAAUAGACACAUUCCCUGCCCUCGAUGAGCUCCUUCCUUCAGCCCACCGUGGCAUGCUCCUUUUUCCAGCUCGAACAAAUUCAGAAGAACUCCAGGUUUAGCUCAGUGCCUUUCCCAGAACCUACUCUCUCCCAUCAAUCAAUCAAU
Molecule: long non-coding RNA, 1468 nt
Filed under: Ornithorhynchus anatinus (platypus)
Lineage: Eukaryota; Metazoa; Chordata; Mammalia; Monotremata; Ornithorhynchidae
Description: lncRNA (ENSOANG00000033853.2)
Source: RNAcentral